Molecule: ribosomal RNA, 253 nt
Filed under: uncultured bacterium
Lineage: Bacteria
Description: partial 16S ribosomal RNA
Rfam family: Bacterial small subunit ribosomal RNA
Source: RNAcentral
UACGUAGGCAGCGAGCGUUGUUCGGAUUCAUUGGGCGUAAAGGGUGCGUAGGCGGCGCGGUAAGUCGGGUGUGAAAUCUCGGGGCUUAACUCCGAAACUGCAUUCGAUACUGCCGUGCUUGAGGACUGGAGAGGAGACUGGAAUUUACGGUGUAGCGGUGAAAUGCGUAGAUAUCAGGUGGAACACCAGUGGCGAAGGCGAGUCUCUGGACAUUUCCUGACGCUGAGGCACGAAAGCCAGGGGAGCAAACGGG